AUACCUUUCUCAGCCUCUUGGCUUAGAUCGUGUGUAGUAUCUGUUCUUAUCAGUUAGUAGCUGAUAUUGGGACCAUGUGUUCCAACGCUAUUAUCUAAUUUUUUGUGGGACGGGGGCUACCGGUAGCUUGCUACCCGGCCUUCCGCGUGUCGGGUUGGCCUUACACUAGUGCCUUCCCCGGCACAACCCAG
Molecule: small nuclear RNA, 191 nt
Filed under: Selaginella moellendorffii
Lineage: Eukaryota; Viridiplantae; Streptophyta; Lycopodiopsida; Selaginellales; Selaginellaceae
Description: snRNA U2
Rfam family: U2 spliceosomal RNA
About the family: U2 is a small nuclear RNA (snRNA) component of the spliceosome (involved in pre-mRNA splicing). Complementary binding between U2 snRNA (in an area lying towards the 5' end but 3' to hairpin I) and the branchpoint sequence (BPS) of the intron results the bulging out of an unpaired adenosine, on the BPS, which initiates a nucleophilic attack at the intronic 5' splice site, thus starting the first of two transesterification reactions that mediate splicing.
Source: Rfam by way of RNAcentral